This 394-nucleotide ribosomal RNA is filed under the name uncultured bacterium. RNAcentral's name for it is "partial 16S ribosomal RNA". It matches the Rfam family "Bacterial small subunit ribosomal RNA", at positions 338 to 729 of the family's 1533-position model. The record is from RNAcentral.
CCUACGGGAGGCAGCAGUGAGGAAUAUUGGUCAAUGGGCGUAAGCCUGAACCAGCCAAGUCGCGUGAGGGAUGAAGGUUCUAUGGAUCGUAAACCUCUUUUAUAAGGGAAUAAAGUGCGGGACGUGUCCCGUUUUGUAUGUACCUUAUGAAUCAGGAUCGGCUAACUCCGUGCCAGCAGCCGCGGUAAUACGGAGGGUCCGAGCGUUAUCCGGAUUUAUUGGGUUUAAAGGGUGCGUAGGCGGCCUUGUAAGCCAGAGGUGAAAGUUUGUGGCUCAACCAUAGAAUUGCCGUUGAAACUGGGAGGCUUGAGUAUGUUUGAGGCAGGCGGAAUGCGUGGUGUAGCGGUGAAAUGCGUAGAUAUCACGCAGAACCCCGAUGGCGAAGGCAGCCUGC